This 459-nucleotide ribosomal RNA is filed under the name uncultured bacterium. RNAcentral describes it as "partial 16S ribosomal RNA". It matches the Rfam family "Bacterial small subunit ribosomal RNA", at positions 338 to 795 of the family's 1533-position model. The record is from RNAcentral.
CCUACGGGGGGCUGCAGUGAGGAAUAUUGGUCAAUGGACGAGAGUCUGAACCAGCCAAGUAGCGUGAAGGAUGACUGCCCUAUGGGUUGUAAACUUCUUUUAUAUGGGAAUAAAACAGGGUAUGCAUACCCUCUUGUAUGUACCAUAUGAAUAAGGAUCGGCUAACUCCGUGCCAGCAGCCGCGGUAAUACGGAGGAUCCGAGCGUUAUCCGGAUUUAUUGGGUUUAAAGGGUGCGCAGGCGGGCUGUUAAGCCGGCGGUAAAAAUUCAGGGCUCAACCCUGUCGAACCGUUGGAACUGGCAGUCUUGAGUGGGCGAGAAGUAUGCGGAAUGCGUGGUGUAGCGGUGAAAUGCAUAGAUAUCACGCAGAACGCCGAUUGCGAAGGCAGCACACCGGCGCCCAACUGACGCUGAGGCACGAAAGCGUGGGGAUCGAACAGGAUUAGAUACCCGGGUAGUC